This 406-nucleotide ribosomal RNA is filed under the name uncultured bacterium. RNAcentral's name for it is "partial 16S ribosomal RNA". It matches the Rfam family "Bacterial small subunit ribosomal RNA", at positions 30 to 526 of the family's 1533-position model. The record is from RNAcentral.
AUUGAACGCUGGCGGCAGGCCUAACACAUGCAAGUCGAACGAGUGGCGGACGGGUGAGUAAUGUCUGGGAAACUGCCUGAUGGAGGGGGAUAACUACUGGAAACGGUAGCUAAUACCGCAUACCAUCAGAUGUGCCCAGAUGGGAUUAGCUAGUGGGUGGGGUAACGGCGCACAAAGGCGACGAUCCCUAGCUGGUAUGAGAGGAUGACCAGCCACACUGGAACUGAGAAACGGUCCAGACUUCUACGGGAGGCAGCAGUGGGGAAUAUUGCACAAGGGGCGCAAGCCUGAUGCAGCCAUGCCGCGUGUAUGAAGAAGGCCUUCGGGUUGUAAAGUACGUUCAGCGGUGAGGCGUUACCCGCAGAAGAAGCACCGGCUAACUCCGUGCCAGCCGCCGCGGUAAUUC